GAUGAACGCUAGCUACAGGCCUAACACAUGCAAGUCGAGGGACCGGCGCACGGGUGAGUAACACGUACCCAACCUGCCCUUUACUCGCGGAUAGCCUUUCGACUGAAAGAUUAAUACCCGAUGUUAAGGAUGGGGAUGCGUUCCAUUAGGGUGUUGGUAAGGUAUCGGCUCACCAAGCAUUCGAUGGAUAGGGGUUCUGAGAGGAAGGUACCCCACAAUGGAACUGAGACACAGUCCACACUCCGACGGGAGGUAGCAGUGAAGUAUAUUGGUGAAUGGGCUUUAGCCUGAACCAGCCGAGUGGCGGAAAAAAGGAAGGGUUAUGAGUCGUAAACUUCUUUUAUAGAAGAAUAGGUAUUAUAUGAAUAAGGAUCGGCUAACUCCGUGCCAGCCGCCGCGGUAAUUC
Molecule: ribosomal RNA, 406 nt
Filed under: uncultured bacterium
Lineage: Bacteria
Description: partial 16S ribosomal RNA
Rfam family: Bacterial small subunit ribosomal RNA
Source: RNAcentral